UGGGGAAUCUUUGGACAAUGGGGGCAACCCUGAUCCAGCCAUGCCGCGUGAGUGAUGAAGGCCUUAGGGUCGUAAAGCUCUUUCGCCUGUGAAGAUAAUGACGGUAGCAGGUAAAGAAACCCCGGCUAACUCCGUGCCAGCAGCCGCGGUAAUACGGAGGGGGUUAGCGUUGUUCGGAAUUACUGGGCGUAAAGCGCACGUAGGCGGACCAGAAAGUUGGGGGUGAAAUCCCGGGGGCUCAACCCCGGAACUGCCUCCAAAACUAUUGGUCUAGAGUUCGAGAGAGGUGAGUGGAAUUCCAAGUGUAGAGGUGAAAUUCGUAGAUAUUUGGAGGAACACCAGUGGCGAAGGCGGCUCACUGGCUCGAUACUGACGCUGAGGUGCGAAAGUGUGGGGAGCAAACAGGAUUAGAUACCCUGGUAGUCCACACCGUAAAACGAUGAAUGCCAGUCGUCGGGUAGCAUGCUAUUCGGUGACACACCUAA
Molecule: ribosomal RNA, 485 nt
Filed under: uncultured bacterium
Lineage: Bacteria
Description: bacterial SSU rRNA
Rfam family: Bacterial small subunit ribosomal RNA
Source: RNAcentral